UACGUAGGAGGCGAGCGUUGUCCGGAUUUACUGGGCGUAAAGCGCGCGCAGGCGGCACUUCAAGUAAGGUGUGAAAUCUCCCUGCUCAACGGGGAGGGUGCACUUUAGACUGAGGAGCUAGAGGACGGUAGAGGGGGGUGGAAUUGCUGGUGUAGCGGUGAAAUGCGUAGAGAUCAGCAGGAACACCCGUGGCGAAGGCGGCCUUCUGGGUCCGCCCUGACGCUGAGGCGCGAAAGCGUGGGGAGCGAACGGG
This 253-nucleotide ribosomal RNA is filed under the name uncultured bacterium. RNAcentral describes it as "partial 16S ribosomal RNA". It matches the Rfam family "Bacterial small subunit ribosomal RNA", at positions 524 to 776 of the family's 1533-position model. The record is from RNAcentral.